GCCCCGGUAGCUCAGCCUGGAUAGAGCAGCCGCCUCCUAAGCGGAAGGUCGCGGGUUCGAAUCCCGCCCGGGGCA
This is a transfer RNA of 75 nucleotides. It matches the Rfam family "tRNA". From Rfam's summary of the family: Transfer RNA (tRNA) molecules are approximately 80 nucleotides in length. Their secondary structure includes four short double-helical elements and three loops (D, anti-codon, and T loops). Further hydrogen bonds mediate the characteristic L-shaped molecular structure. tRNAs have two regions of fundamental functional importance: the anti-codon, which is responsible for specific mRNA codon recognition, and the 3' end, to which the tRNAs corresponding amino acid is attached (by aminoacyl-tRNA synthetases). tRNAs cope with the degeneracy of the genetic code in two manners: having more than one tRNA (with a specific anti-codon) for a particular amino acid; and 'wobble' base-pairing, i.e. permitting non-standard base-pairing at the 3rd anti-codon position.